RNAcentral lists this ribosomal RNA (253 nucleotides) under uncultured bacterium. Its description in RNAcentral is "partial 16S ribosomal RNA". It matches the Rfam family "Bacterial small subunit ribosomal RNA", at positions 524 to 776 of the family's 1533-position model. The record is from RNAcentral.
UACGAAGGGUGCAAACGUUGCUCGGAAUCAUUGGGCGUAAAGCGCACGUAGGCGGCCCCGCAAGUCGGACGUGAAAUCCCUCAGCUCAACUGAGGACGUGCAUCCGAAACUGCAGGGCUUGAGUACUGAAGAGGAUCGCGGAAUUCCCGGUGUAGAGGUGAAAUUCGUAGAUAUCAGGAGGAACACCGGUGGCGAAAGCGGCUUCCUGGCCCGACAUUGACGCUCAUGUACGAGAGCGUGGGGAGCAAACAGG